RNAcentral lists this ribosomal RNA (688 nucleotides) under uncultured bacterium. RNAcentral's name for it is "bacterial SSU rRNA". It matches the Rfam family "Bacterial small subunit ribosomal RNA", at positions 82 to 769 of the family's 1533-position model. The record is from RNAcentral.
CUUCUGAUGGCGACCGGCGCACGGGUGCGUAACGCGUAUGCAACCUACCUGUAACAGGGGGAUAACACUGAGAAAUCGGUACUAAUACCGCAUAACACUAUGAGAGGCAUCUCUUGUGGUUGAAAGUUUCGGCGGUUACAGAUGGGCGUGCGUUGUAUUAGCUGGUUGGUAAGGUAACGGCUUACCAAGGCGACGAUACAUAGGGGGACUGAGAGGUUAACCCCCCACAUUGGUACUGAGACACGGACCAAACUCCUACGGGAGGCAGCAGUGAGGAAUAUUGGUCAAUGGACGGAAGUCUGAACCAGCCAUGCCGCGUGCAGGAAGACGGCUCUAUGAGUUGUAAACUGCUUUUGUACAAGGGUAAACCUGAAUACGUGUAUUCAGCUGAAAGUACUGUACGAAUAAGGAUCGGCUAACUCCGUGCCAGCAGCCGCGGUAAUACGGAGGAUCCAAGCGUUAUCCGGAUUUAUUGGGUUUAAAGGGUGCGUAGGCGGAUUGAUAAGUUAGAGGUGAAAUGUCCGAGCUUAACUCGGGAACUGCCUCUAAUACUGUUGAUCUAGAGAGUAGAUGCGGUAGGCGGAAUGUAUGGUGUAGCGGUGAAAUGCUUAGAGAUCAUACAGAACACCGAUUGCGAAGGCAGCUUACCAAUCUAUAUCUGACGUUGAGGCACGAAAGCGUGGGGAGC